CCUACGGGGAGCAGCAGUGAGGAAUAUUGGUCAAUGGACGAGAGUCUGAACCAGCCAAGUAGCGUGAAGGAUGACUGCCCUAUGGGUUGUAAACUUCUUUUAUAUGGGAAUAAAAUGUUCCACGUGUGGGAUUUUGUAUGUACCAUAUGAAUAAGGAUCGGCUAACUCCGUGCCAGCAGCCGCGGUAAUACGGAGGAUCCGAGCGUUAUCCGGAUUUAUUGGGUUUAAAGGGUGCGUAGGUGGAUUGUUAAGUCAGUUGUGAAAGUUUGCGGCUCAACCGUAAAAUUGCAGUUGAAACUGGCAGUCUUGAGUACAGUAGAGGUGGGCGGAAUUCGUGGUGUAGCGGUGAAAUGCUUAGAUAUCACGAAGAACUCCGAUUGCGAAGGCAGUUCACUGGACUGCAACUGACACUGAGGCUCGAAAGUGUGGGUAUCAAACAGGAUUAGAUACCCUUGUAGUC
RNAcentral lists this ribosomal RNA (460 nucleotides) under uncultured bacterium. RNAcentral's name for it is "partial 16S ribosomal RNA". It matches the Rfam family "Bacterial small subunit ribosomal RNA", at positions 338 to 795 of the family's 1533-position model. The record is from RNAcentral.